CAGUAGCCACGGUAAUACGAGGGGUGCGAGCGUUAUUCGGAUUGAUUGGGUGUAAAGGGUGUGCAGACGGCUUAUUAAGUCACUUGUUAAAUUCUUCGGCCUAACUGAAGGUCUGCAAGUGAUACUGAUGAGCUAGAGGGUGGAAGAGAGAAGUGGAAUUCUCGGAGUAGCGGUAAAAUGCGUAGAUCUCGAGAGGAACACCAAUGGCGAAGGCAGCUUCUUGGUCCAUUCCUGACGUUCAUACACGAAAGCGUGGGGAGCAAACAGGAUUAGAUACCCCCGUAGUCCCUGUCUCUUAUAA
RNAcentral lists this ribosomal RNA (301 nucleotides) under uncultured bacterium. RNAcentral's name for it is "partial 16S ribosomal RNA". It matches the Rfam family "Bacterial small subunit ribosomal RNA", at positions 509 to 809 of the family's 1533-position model. The record is from RNAcentral.